RNAcentral lists this long non-coding RNA (2575 nucleotides) under Coffea arabica (coffee). Its description in RNAcentral is "long non-coding RNA (CARA_LNC006660)". Lineage: Eukaryota; Viridiplantae; Streptophyta; Magnoliopsida; Gentianales; Rubiaceae. The record is from RNAcentral.
AAAUGGACACAAACAUUGUUUCUCGUGAUGCUCCUUCCAUUACAACUACAGAUCGUUCCUAUUUCAUAUACAGUCAGACUCUCAUGGUGGACAUCUCAGAUGAUGAUAAGGAGAAACAAAUGCCUAAGAAAUUGCAAGCACUACCUAGGAGGUUUGAACGGGUAUAGCUAUAGCAAGAUUUACCACACAGGCGAAUACAUUUAAGAUGUGGCUUCUCUACCAAUCUGCACGAUAAAGGGCAAUGGGCACGUUGAUAGGUAAAAUUCAGACUUCAAGAUUUUUUUCUUAUCAGACCUCCUGUUUUAAACAAUGACAAUACUAUUUUGUUUAAUUCUAUUAGACAUUUAUCGAUAGAUGCUACAAUAUUUAUCUUAACUUAUAUUAUUUGUAAAACAAAAAAAAUUCAAAAUAGGAUAUGACUUCAACAUAUUUCAAUUUAAAUUAAUUUUUUAUUAUAAAAUGGAACCUAAACCUCGCUUCUAGCCAUUCAUUGAUGAUCAAUCAAUGGAUAUGAUGGAAAAAAUAGUAGAUUUUAAAGGUAAUUUUGUUUGAAGGCAUAAUCUAAUCCUUGAUAAAUUAGGGUUUAGGGAUUACUAAUAACAAAAUUUAAAAUUUUUUGAAAAAUGUCGCUGCAUUCAAUUAAGAUGCAGCGAUCAUAAUUUUUUUUUAAAAUAUUACUCUGUUGCAUGCUAUAUGACAUGCGACAAAUCCUUUUUAAAAAAAAAAGAUUUCCCUUUUUAAUUUUAGCAGCAGGGAAAAAAUUAGAAAUUAAAUGAAUAUUUCAUGACCGCUGCAUUUGGCCCUAAGUUUAGCACAAAAUCUCUAGGAACACCACUUUUAGGAUUUUUUUUGAAUUUAGUAAUAUUUUAUGAAAUUUGCCCUCAAAGUCCAUGUCCUAUUGCAUUUCAUCAAAACAUGUUCAUAUACUUUCUAUCCAACUUUUAAGCCAUAUUAUGGACUAACCGAUUUCUUAUUCUUCUUCAUUCUAAUUAUUUGUUUGGUCUUCUUUUCCGACUGUGGGAUGCAGUGCUAAAACAUAAAUAUUUUAUCAAGUAUGACAAAAAUAAAAAAAGACUAGCAAGAAAGCAUAAAACUGCAAGUUAAAAGCAUAAAUUUACUUACUAGUUUGAAAUUAAUCCAUUGGCCACCUAACCAAUCGUGAUGUAGUCUCAAUUGGUCCAAGGGACAAAAUAGUUUGAUUGAUAUUUCCCAUUUAUGAUGCAUAUCCAUCACCCAUCACUCAGAAAUAUAAGUCACCCAGGUCAUACAAGUUUUUUGAAUUACCCAAGUCAUACAAGUUGAAACAACUUAUCGAAACAUGUGAAAGCAAAGGUCAGAGCUAAUCAACACUGACAACCUCUUUUGAUGGUUCAGAUUCAUCUUCUAGUAGGUCAACAUAUUGAGUUUUUUUAUUUCUUUUGUGGUUAGGGUGCAAAAUUAGGGUUAGGGAAAGGAAAAAUUGGGGAAAAUGGAGGAUCAUGCCACAUGGUCCUUUACUUACUUUUGUGGUCAAUGAUGGUUGACAAAUACACCUGAUUAACCCAUUCUAUAUUAGGUUAAAAAUUUAUGUGGGUUGACAAAUUUACCCUUUAAAAGUUGAUCACGUGAUGCUUUCGUGAUUUAUUCCAACCAAAAUAUGGCUAAAAAGGUGAUGAAGGAUAAAAAUUAGCAUUUUUACUUAUGAGGGACUAAAAUGAAUCAUUUUCAUUUUGAAUGGCUAAAAUUUCAUAUCAACUACAUAUGGGGGACUAUUACUGUAAUUUUCCUAUAUAGGAAAGACUCAUUGGUUGGGAACCCACCAGACACUACCUUCAUAAAGCUAAACGCUAGUGGCUUCUCGAAAAGUAAACCUAGAACAGCAAGUGCUGGUGGUGUGUUUCGUGAUCAUAUGGGUACUUGGAUACUUACUUUGGUAAUUUGGUUACAGUAGGUGCAUGGGGAGCACGACCAACAGCGUGGCUGAGGCUUGGACGAUUAGAGAGGGACUUCACGUUGCAAUUCAACAAAAAAUUUUCACCCAUAUUAUUGUUGAAUCUGACUCUAAAGUCAUUAUUGAUAUAAUUAAUAGGGAUGAUGUUGACAAUCACUUACUUUCUCCCCCAUUUUAUCAGAUCGCAGAGAACUUGUCCAACAGAUUUUACGAGUUUUUUUUUAAAGAGUUUGAAUGGAUUCGGUUCCAAUCACUAUUACGAAUUAGGGGAUGACUCUAGGAUCAUAAGUGAUUCUACGAGUCAAGUUUAAGCAUAUCCUCAAAGAAUCAAAUAUAUGCGCGAUCGAUCAGUUGGCUAAACUGGGAACUCAGCAAGAAAAGGAUUUUGUAUCGCAACUACUCCCUCCUCCUCUCGUAAGCAGUAUCUUAUAUAUAUAUUUAUGACAUUAGAGGAGAUAAGUUUCUUAGGAUGGUUGUAGAAGAUCUAUGUUAAUUUAAUUUAAAGUCCUUUUUCUACCGCAAAAAAAAAAAAAAGCUUUUUAAUAGGAAGAUAUAUCACUUGGAAAGUAUAAAAGGCUACAUAACAUGCAUUAAGUAGAACUGCUUAUAACUAAACAUACUAGUGAGAUUUUGAAAAUUUCUUGA